RNAcentral lists this unclassified non-coding RNA (311 nucleotides) under Hevea brasiliensis (rubber tree). The record is from RNAcentral. Lineage: Eukaryota; Viridiplantae; Streptophyta; Magnoliopsida; Malpighiales; Euphorbiaceae.
AGCUGAGCUGCAACAGAAACUGAAUGAUGUAAUCUUGUCAUAGAGCUUCACUUUGAAGUGACUUUAUAAUUCAUAAUAUUCAAAUAUGCACUGCCUUAAGAUCACCUAUAUGAAUCCUAAACUUGGUUAUGUUUAUAUAUAUAUUAACAUGCAUUUGCAAACUGUUUGAUGAUGUCUAUUUGCAAGUUUCUUUUGGUAGAAUUGUGAAAUAAAAAGAAUCCAUCUGAUGUGAAUUCCUAUCUGAACUCCUCGCAAACUAUUUAUCUAUUUGACCUGAUAUCUAGGGGAUCGAUGGGGGGAAAAGGAUCAUU